AGCGGCGAACGGGUGAGUAACACGUGGGUGACCUGCCCUCCACUCUGGGAUAAGCCCGGGAAACUGGGUCUAAUACCGGAUAGGACCACUGAUCGCAUGGUUGGUGGUGGAAAGUUUUUUCGGUGGGGGAUGGGCCCGCGGCCUAUCAGCUUGUUGGUGGGGUGAUGGCCUACCAAGGCGGUGACGGGUAGCCGGCCUGAGAGGGCGACCGGCCACACUGGGACUGAGACACGGCCCAGACUCCUACGGGAGGCAGCAGUGGGGAAUAUUGCGCAAUGGGCGGAAGCCUGACGCAGCGACGCCGCGUGGGGGAUGACGGCCUUCGGGUUGUAAACCUCUUUCGCCAGGGACGAAGAGCAAUUGACGGUACCUGGAGAAGAAGCACCGGCCAACUACGUGCCAGCAGCCGCGGUAACACGUAGGGUGCGAGCGUUGUCCGGAAUUAUUGGGCGUAAAGAGCUCGUAGGCGGUGUGUCGCGUCGGCCGUGAAAACUUGGGGCUUAACUCUGAGCGUGCGGUCGAUACGGGCAUCACUUGAGUUCGGCAGGGGAGACUGGAAUUCCUGGUGUAGCGGUGAAAUGCGCAGAUAUCAGGAGGAACACCGGUGGCGAAGGCGGGUCUCUGGGCCGAUACUGACGCUGAGGAGCGAAGC
This 652-nucleotide ribosomal RNA is filed under the name Pseudonocardia sp. PHPL45. RNAcentral describes it as "bacterial SSU rRNA". It matches the Rfam family "Bacterial small subunit ribosomal RNA", at positions 94 to 760 of the family's 1533-position model. The record is from RNAcentral. Lineage: Bacteria; Bacillati; Actinomycetota; Actinomycetes; Pseudonocardiales; Pseudonocardiaceae.